GGUUCGGGAGCCGUGCGGUGGGACGCGCGGCACGAAUGGAACCCCGCCCCUCAUUCGCCGCGUUGCGCCGGUCGGGCCCCGACGACCGCUGCA
Regulatory RNA element from Paracoccus halophilus, 93 nucleotides. It matches the Rfam family "Rhodo-rpoB RNA". NCBI's taxonomy places the organism in Bacteria, Pseudomonadati, Pseudomonadota, Alphaproteobacteria, Rhodobacterales, Paracoccaceae. The record is from Rfam.